UACAGAGGUCUCAAGCGUUGUUCGGAUUCAUUGGGCGUAAAGGGUGCGUAGGCGGCGCGGUAAGUCGGGUGUGAAAUCUCGGAGCUUAACUCCGAAACUGCAUUCGAUACUGCCGUGCUUGAGGACUGGAGAGGAGACUGGAAUUUACGGUGUAGCGGUGAAAUGCGUAGAGAUCCGGAAGAACACCGGUGGCGAAGGCGGCCAACUGGACCAUUACUGACGCUGAGGCGCGAAAGCGUGGGGAGCAAACAGG
Molecule: ribosomal RNA, 253 nt
Filed under: uncultured bacterium
Lineage: Bacteria
Description: partial 16S ribosomal RNA
Rfam family: Bacterial small subunit ribosomal RNA
Source: RNAcentral